GAUGCCUGGCGCUGCAGCAAUCAUCUUGACACCAUGAGUGACAGACAGAUGUGGUAGCCCAGCAGCCUCAUACCCUGAGCUGGUUUUCAGUUACUGGCAGCUUUAUGCUAUAGUAUCAACAGCCCUGUGGAGCAAAUCACGGAUGAAGAGGCUGAAGGACAGAAAAACUUAGCUUCCUCCAAGCCACACAGCCAGGAAGUGACAGACACAUAAUUGCAACCGAAGCCCUUACUCUCUAGUGUUGAGGAAGUUCCAACUUCUUUCACUAAAUCCACCCCCUUCUCCACCUCCUGGUUAUCUCUGCUUUGGCCUCAACUUCUACCCUGCCCAACACAACACAACAUCCUUUACUACAGAAAUAACCAAACCUGAAUCCAUAGCUAACCGACCUGAGCUCCAUGGACCCUAAAGCGUCAAUGAAAUGCUUUUAGAGAUACAGGACCCCCUGAACCUGUUUUUAACAUCCGCUUCUAUGAUGAGCAACAUGGGUACACAGGCCACACAUAAGCCUGAAAGCAGGAGUGCUGUUUUCUACUCGAGUUUUCUGCUUUUCUGCCACUGCCAGAAGAAACUCUCAAGGACUUAGCUGAACUAAGGUUCAGAAGUACCAGUCAGGACUCUUUCCUCCAAGUCACAGAACCCGCUGAAGUGCAAAGCAUGCUGGGAGAACUCAUGGCAUCAAAGGAUGAACUCAACAAGCAGGAAGGCAAGAACCGGGACAGCCUCAGGGCCAACAUCCAAAAAGCACUGUCAAGAGAGUCCAGUUGGUCCCAGAUACCCAUUGUUAGAACUGAAGGGCGGAGGACGAGAUAGAGCCAACAAAUCCCCAGCUGGAAGAGAGAAGAGGCAGUAUACGUCACAGCUGGUGCCGUGGACGGAUUGGAGGGGACAUGGGUGGGUGCAGAGGAGAGCCAGAGGUGGAGACAGAGGGUAAAUGAAAAGGGGAGUAAAGGAGACAAGGUCAGAUAAGCAACUGUUUCAAGCUAGGAGGAGAUCACCAGUGAUUUUAAGAUGAUGUAAAGCAGGAACCAUGAAAUGUACUGUUCUCAAUUCUGUCUUCCUGUCAAUAAAACCAGGAGUGCCAGAUAGCAUCUGAGACCAGAUAACCAUA
Felis catus (domestic cat) is the source of this 1111-nucleotide long non-coding RNA. RefSeq lists it as uncharacterized. Lineage: Eukaryota; Metazoa; Chordata; Mammalia; Carnivora; Felidae. The record is from RefSeq and is a predicted model, not a curated record. The transcript is spliced from 5 exons.